AAUGAGCAAUUGAAGUUGACACUUCAAACUCGUUCUUUUCUUCUUCGUUUUGUUUCGAUUGUUGUUGUUCUUCGACUUGUUGUUCAUAAACCCUAGAACUAGAACCUUCUUCUUCUUCAUCCAUGGCAAAGAAAUUGAAAAGAAUAAUACAAAAAAAGAAAAACCUAAUUUAAAACCCUAAUUCUGAUGAUUUGUUAAUUACAAGAGAAGAGAUAGAGAGAGAGAUUGUUUUGUUGUUCAGACUUCAGAGGUUAGAGAGUUGGAAGAGAGAGAGAGGUGAGGCAACAUGAAAUGCGGUCACGAACUCACGCACGCCCGAUACAGAAAAAAGUUAAAAGUCCAUAAAUGCCCCUUUAGGAUCUACUUACGAGUGUUUUUAUCUGCUUUCAACACGUUUAAGCUUACUAAAUUGGGCUGUUCAUGGAUUUCUUUUUUUGAGUGGCCCAACUGGAUUGUACAUGGGUUUUUUUUUUCGGGUAAAGAUCAUUCUUUAUGGUUUGUGCUAGGACUGUUGCUAUUAAAGGCCGGGUUUUUUCUUGUUCGCCACCAAAAUCUAUUCACUACCAUAAAAAAAUUUAUUUAUCAUCUGCCAAAUGAAAAUAACUCAAACAAUAACUAUCCAUCACUAAAUAAACGAUGAAAAGAGUUUAAAAAAAUUUGGUCAAAACCCCUAUUUUGUCCAGGUUUGGCCAUAACCCCCCUAAAUGUUGAAUUUUUUGACCUAAACCCCCCUCUGUUAGGCUACCCCCUUAAUUUUUCAUCCAUUAUUAAAAACAUUUUCCAUUAUACCCUUAAUUCAAAUAACCCUCCAAAAAUAACUUAGCAACCACUAACAAAAAUUAGAUAACAGAUGUUAAAAUGGUAAUGUAGUGGUGGUGGUUGUUAUAUUAUAUGGUGGUGGUGAUUUCCUUGUGUUGUUCUUCAACUGAUGGGGAGGCGAAUUGCAAGGCUUUAGUGAAGGUGGUGGUCUCAAUGGUAAGGGAGGUGGAGGGGAAGGUGAAAGAGUGGUGGUUCUGAAAGUGUAGAAUCAAUCAAUGAUUACAAACUAUCCUCGAGAUUAAGUCUUAUGUGGUAUUUCUUCAAAUGGCUAAUCUUUAUUUUGUUUUUUCACCUAAAUUUCCACAAUGGGUAUUCAAUCAAACUCUUCCCUAAAAAUUAAUUUACAUCAAAUAAAUAAACUUAGGCUUUUUCUUACACUCCUAAAUCUACAAAAUACUUUUAACUUUCGAAAUCAACAAACUAAAUGGGUAUUCAAAUUUUGAAAAGAACUACAUUGAUUUCAUCUCAAUCUCGACAGAAUGUGUGUCAUUGCAAUGUGUUUCCCUCUCUUUGGGUCUGUUUGGUAGGUUUUAAUGUAUCCAUUAACUUUUUGGUGAGGGGUUCCAGGGACUUAGGAAAUGUUUGACUCAAUUUUGACUCAAUCAUAUUUAGGGUAUUUGUACAUGUUGGAUUGACGUGAUUUUUGGUAGAUAUGAUCUCCUUACUAUAAAUAUCUACUACAUAAAAAAUCAGCUCAUUUGAAUAUGUUUAGACUCAUCAAAUGUAAUAUUAAAUUCAACAGUAAAAAUGAACGUUCCACAAUACAUUAACUUGUAAUAUGAUUUUUCUACGGUUAGAAAAUUCAAAUUAUUAUAAAUUUUGGUGAAGAUGUCGAACAUAAUGAGAAUAUUCAUCUUACCAAAAAUCAUGUAAAUCCAAUAUGUACAAGUACCCUAAAUAGGAUUGAAUCAAACAUUUCCUGAGUCCCUGGAACCCCUCCCAACUUUUUUUAUACUUAUCUAUAGUUAGUAAAUGAAGAAAAAACAGAGUACAAUUUUCUUAAUGAAAUCAUCAUCAUCAUCAUCAUCGAGUUUUAAAUAAUUUGGGAAUUUGAUUGCGCGACAGAAAAGAGGUAGAGGGUGUUAAUGAAGACCCACAAGUUCUGUUAAGUUAAGUUAAUUUUUAGGGGGUUUAUGCAAAUAGUUUUAAUUAGGGGUAAAAUAGGGAUUUUCUUUUAUAAUGGAAGGAAAAGUGGGGGCAGCCCAAUGGAAGGGGGUAUAGGCCAAAAAUUUCAACAUUAAGAGGUUAUGGCCAAACCUGGACAAAAUAUGGGGGGUUUUGACUAAAUUUCCCAAAAGUUUAUUUAAAAACGAUUUUUGAACUCCACCAUUUACAGUAUUCACCAACAUCUUUGAAACAUGUAUCGCUUCUCAAAGCAUCCAUUUCUCUAUCAUAAACAAGAAUUCAAAUAAAAUUCUAUUUAGGGACUCUGGAAUUAAGAUUUAAAGAGAAGAAAAGAGUAAAUUGACCAUUUGAAGAUGGUGUUUGAGAGAAGUUUCAUUUGAAUUAAUUAGUUUUUUGUUUUAAAUUUGUUAAAUUUCUAAUGGUUAAUCUCUUUCGUAGAGGAAAAAAAUUCUAUAACUGAGUAAAAGAGAAGAUGAUUUUCAAUCUUCUCUUGGUGUGGGUAAUCCUUUUGAAAAUAAUGAAGAAAAUCUAAGAAAAUGAACAAGAAAGAAAGUGCAGGGUGCCGAGAUAAGUGAGAAGAUGGAUCACUAUGGUUACGAAUAGUUAUUUUUUUGGCUAGGAUUAGUAUUAUUUCACCAGCAUGAAUUGAUUAUUUUUCUGGAUAGGAAAAAGGCCGGCUGUUAAUAACAACGGUCUGUGCUAGAGGCACACCCAUUUUUACUUUGGGCACACUUUCAAAUAAAAUAAUAAUAACAUUUAUGUCCGAAAAUUAAAUACACCCCAAUUUUAUCUGCAACAAUUUGUUAUAACACUUCACCUUCUAAAUUUACCAUGUCACUCAUUCAAAGAGAGGUGUGCCUUCUUACAACCACCAUUUGAAAUAUAUUUUUACAAAACUAGUACUAUCAAAUAAAGGUGGGCACGGUUCGGUUCGGUUCCAUUUUACCACUAAACUGAAACCGAACUGUGCAAGCUGGUUCGGUUCGGUUCGGUUUCAAAAACCGAAAAAUAUUAUUAAAACUGGACUGGACCGAACCGAUUUAAUUCGGUUCGGUUCGGUUCGAUUUUUGGUUUGGGCUUUAUUGUGGGCUUUUGUGUUUUGGGCUUUAAUAACUUCGGUUUUUUUUUUUGUAAUCUAAUGAAUAUUUGAAUAUAAUCUAACAUUUAUAAAAAAAAUAAUAAAAAAAUAAAACAAAACAUAUAUAACGUAUAUAUAUAAAUAAAAAAAAUUAAAAAUAUAUAUAUAUAUAUAUUAAUAUAUAUUUUUUCGGUUCGGUUCGGUUCGAACCGAAAUAUUAGAAUAGGAACUGGAACUGGAUUGUAUAUAUUCGGUUCGGCAGUUCCAGUUCGGUUUGACCGGUUCCUGGUCGUUCCAGUUCGGUUUGACCGGUUCCUGGUCAACACAAUUUUGACCGGUUUUGACCCGGUUCGGUUCCGGUUUUAAUUUAGUUUUCCGGUUUUUUGCCCACCCCUACUAUCAAAUAUCAAUAGUAUCUUGUAAAUACCCUUUUUAAUAACAAAAGAACAAUUCUGUUCUACAUGAAGGGUAGGCUGAUUAAGCCGAAAACAAUGCUUAAUAAGAGAUGAAAUGGUAAAACUAUUUAACAGAAAGCUUUGCACUUUGAAUUUCUAAAGUGGGUAAGAGCUUUUUCAUGGUGAUUAAAGUUGAGAUGAGCUCCAAUAUUAAUGAUAAGGAAAAAGUGUUGUGAUGUUUGAUUUCAGCUUUAACGUUUGAGAAUGAAGAGAGGAAGGAAGGUUUGGCAUUUUGCUGACCAAAACUGAGUUUGUCAACUUCCAAAAUGGCUAAAAUACCCCCACAAGUGCAACUAAGUUUCCCCGCCUAAAAUUUUUUUCCCUCUAAGAAGCGACACGUGUAAAGUUCUUAAAGAAUUUAAUCAGACGGCUACAAUUCAGAUCUAAAACAAAUUAACUAGGGCUAAGGCCUUGUUCACUAUCAACUCAUACCAUUUCCUUACAAUCAGUGGGUGAUUCUUUAUCGAAGAAAAAAAACCCAGUGUUUUAGGUGAUUGGUGACUCCACAAGAAGGUGGUGGUAUGUAAAAAUCUUCCUUUUGUUUUACUUUUGCAAAUUGCAGGACUUUCACCACUAGGCCAUCAAUACCACUUUAAAAACCUCUGAUCACAUUAUCCUUAGUUGCUUUAUCUAUCAUUAAAAUCGUAGGCAAAACAGUAAGCAUGCUCUUGAGUUACCCAUUUUCUCUUUGCCUUUCUUCAAGCUGUAAACUAAUUAUAAUAGAUUAUAAAAUUCCAAAACCAAAGCAGUUAACCAUUUUAAUCUUUUUACAAUUUUAUUUUAUUUUUUUUAAUAAUUCAUAAUUUUAUUGAUAAACUAAUAAUCAAAAAAAAAAUUAUCCUUUUGUAUUUUGAAUGCCUUCAUGUCUAAUAUAUUAUUGUCAUUUGUGAUACUCUUAUAUUUGUAUAGUUAAGUUUUUUUUUUUUUUUGGAGGGGGUAGGGGUUUUGCUAAUUUGAUUUGUUAAUUAAGAGAGAGAGAGAGAGAGAGAGAGAGAGAGAGAGAGAGAGAGAGAGAGAGAGAGAGAGAGAGAGAGAGAGAGAGAGAGAGAGAGAGAGAGAGAGAGAGAGAGAGGUGAGGCAACAUGAAAUGCGGUCACGAACUCACG
Molecule: long non-coding RNA, 4583 nt
Filed under: Aquilegia coerulea
Lineage: Eukaryota; Viridiplantae; Streptophyta; Magnoliopsida; Ranunculales; Ranunculaceae
Description: long non-coding RNA (ACOE_LNC000507)
Source: RNAcentral